This 253-nucleotide ribosomal RNA is filed under the name uncultured bacterium. RNAcentral describes it as "partial 16S ribosomal RNA". It matches the Rfam family "Bacterial small subunit ribosomal RNA", at positions 524 to 776 of the family's 1533-position model. The record is from RNAcentral.
UACGUAGGGCGCAAGCGUUGUCCGGAAUUAUUGGGCGUAAAGAGCUCGUAGGCGGUCUGUCGCGUCGGAUGUGAAAGCCCGGGGCUUAACCCCGGGUCUGCAUUCGAUACGGGCAGACUAGAGUGCGGUAGGGGAGACUGGAAUUCCUGGUGUAGCGGUGAAAUGCGCAGAUAUCAGGAGGAACACCAAUGGCGAAGGCAGCUCGCUGGGACGGUACUGACGCUGAGGCGCGAAAGCGUGGGGAGCGAACAGG